RNAcentral lists this ribosomal RNA (254 nucleotides) under uncultured bacterium. RNAcentral's name for it is "partial 16S ribosomal RNA". It matches the Rfam family "Bacterial small subunit ribosomal RNA", at positions 524 to 776 of the family's 1533-position model. The record is from RNAcentral.
UACGUAGGGUGCGAGCGUUGUCCGGAAUUAUUGGGCGUAAAGAGCUUGUAGGCGGUUUGUCGCGUCUGCUGUGAAAAUCCGGGGGCUCAACCCCGGACUUGCAGUGGGUACGGGCAGACUAGAGUGUGGUAGGGGAGACUGGAAUUCCUGGUGUAGCGGUGGAAUGCGCAGAUAUCAGGAGGAACACCGAUGGCGAAGGCAGGUCUCUGGGCCACUACUGACGCUGAGAAGCGAAAGCAUGGGGAGCGAACAGG